Molecule: ribosomal RNA, 777 nt
Filed under: Triticum aestivum (bread wheat)
Lineage: Eukaryota; Viridiplantae; Streptophyta; Magnoliopsida; Poales; Poaceae
Description: partial small subunit ribosomal RNA
Source: RNAcentral
AUGGCGACCGUGUGGGAGCUGCCUAAACUCACUGAGAUCAAACGGCAUGAUGAUUGGUUCAUCCAGGUAAUAUGUGAAGCCGAAGUACCACAACAUGUCCGUUUAAUGAUGCUCUUAUGGAGAAUUUGGCAUGUCAGGAAUGAAGUUGUUCAUGCAAAGCCAGCUCCUUCGAUGGAUGUCUCUGCCCGGUUCCUGGAGAGUUAUUUGAAUUCCUUGUCAAGCUUGUCUGCUACCCAAGAUGCUGUUUAUGCCAAGGGCAAGAUGGUUCCCGCUGAAUGCCUCCUAAAAUCGAGCGCGGUCCGCGCUGUCCAGUUGCAGAACAUUAGCCCUUGGAUCCCCCCAAGUGAAGGAAGAGUGAAGCUAAAUACUGAUGGCUCUGUCUUGAAUGGUAAUGCGGGAACUGGUAUGGUUUUGUGGGAUCAUGGUGGAAAUAUUAUUUUCAGUGCUUGCAGAUUUGUGUGCGAUUGUGAAGAUGUACUCGAGUCUGAGAUAUUGGCUAUCAAGGAGGGCAUCAGCUUGGCGUUGCAAUGGAUUUCUCUACCUAUAGAUGUUGAGUCUUAUUGUCUCGAGGCCGUCCAAAUGGUCAAGGAUGCGGGUCGCAACUUCUCAAGAUAUGCCUUUAUGAUUGGAGAUAUCAAGCAAAGUAUGGGGGAACGGGGCUCUUCUAUUACUCAUAUCCACCGCUCGGGCAAUUGUGUUAGUCAUGCCAUGGCUAGUUUUGGUAGUGGGCAGGGUCGAACCAUGGUUUGGCUCGGCUCAGCUCCUGAUGAAGUCUUA